AUGCAAAAGGGUUGUGGAGUUUUGAUGUUAGGUGAGUUCACGCUUGUUAGCAUAGUGGGAAGCUGUUCAUGUUUGGGUAAUGUUAAAUGGUUGCAACAGGUUCAUGGGGUGGCAGUUUUAGUUGGAUUUUACUCCAAUGUGAUUCUCAACAAUGCUUUGGUUGAUGCUUACGGAAAAUGUGGUGAACCCGAUUCUUAG
Non-coding RNA from Vicia faba (fava bean), 198 nucleotides. The record is from the annotation of a GenBank genome assembly. NCBI's taxonomy places the organism in Eukaryota, Viridiplantae, Streptophyta, Magnoliopsida, Fabales, Fabaceae.